RNAcentral lists this small RNA (997 nucleotides) under Pongo abelii (Sumatran orangutan). Its description in RNAcentral is "processed transcript". The record is from RNAcentral. Lineage: Eukaryota; Metazoa; Chordata; Mammalia; Primates; Hominidae.
AUUCCGGAGCAGCAGCAGUUGACAGACGGAGAGGCAGUGACUCUGCGCCCAGCAAUCCCUCUGCAGACAGCUCCCACAGGAGUCAUGCCCAGUGUGUGAAGGCUCUGGGCAUCACCAGUGGCCCCAGGGAAAAAGAAAGAAAUGGGAAACAGCAUGAAAUCCGCCCCUGCACCUGCCGAGAGGCCCCUGCCCAACCCAGAGGGACUGGAUAGUGACUUCCUUGCCGUGCUGAGUGACUACCCGUCUCCUGACAUCAGCCCCCCGAUAUUCCGCCGAGGGGAGAAACUGCGUGUGAUUUCUGAUGAAGGGGGUUGGUGGAAAGCUAUUUCUCUUAGCACUGGUCGAGAGAGUUACAUCCCUGGAAUAUGUGUGGCCAGAGUUUACCAUGGUCAUGCCAGUGAGGCCUCUGCAGCCUCCUGGGUGGCUUUGGAGCCCUGCACACCUGGGCACAAAUCUUGGCUUCCCUCCUUCCAUGUGAGGGUCUUGGAAAAGUCGCUCCACCUCCUGGAGUUACGUUAUCCUCAUCUGUCAAGUUACCGAGGCUGGAAGUUGGCAAAGAAAUGCACAGCAUAUUGGAAAUGGAAAAGAAAGAAGGAGGCAUCCAUUGAUAAACACUAAGUUACUUCUUCAUGUCCAGAGGAGGACUCUAUGUGCCACAUGCUCAUCUUGCAAAACAGAGAUAACCACCUGAAUCCUUUGAAGACCGGAAUUCUGCGAGUUUAAUUUUAGUAUUCAUGAUCUUAAUUGUGAAUACCAGGUGCCAUUUCCAUGCUCAGGAUGAUAAAGGUAAACAAAACUGGAGCAGGAGCUGCCCUGGGAGUCACGUUCUGAAAGAGAUGGCAGUCACGUGACUCUUCUACAUCAGCUGCUUACCCUGGAGCCAUUCAUUCAUUAGCAAGCGUGCAUCAAUGCCUUCAUGCUGAAGAUGUGAGGCUGCAGCUGGCGUGAGCUGGGGGUGGUGAGGAACCAGGAGAAGUGACAUAAUUAUGACCCUAUG